UAUUACAAUGAAGAGUUUGAUCCUGGCUCAGGAUGAACGCUAGCUACAGGCUUAACACAUGCAAGUCGAGGGGCAGCAUGGUCUUAGCUUGCUAAGGCCGAUGGCGACCGGCGCACGGGUGAGUAACACGUAUCCAACCUGCCGUCUACUCUUGGACAGCCUUCUGAAAGGAAGAUUAAUACAAGAUGGCAUCAUGAGUCCGCAUGUUCACAUGAUUAAAGGUAUUCCGGUAGACGAUGGGGAUGCGUUCCAUUAGAUAGUAGGCGGGGUAACGGCCCACCUAGUCUUCGAUGGAUAGGGGUUCUGAGAGGAAGGUCCCCCACAUUGGAACUGAGACACGGUCCAAACUCCUACGGGAGGCAGCAGUGAGGAAUAUUGGUCAAUGGGCGAGAGCCUGAACCAGCCAAGUAGCGUGAAGGAUGACUGCCCUAUGGGUUGUAAACUUCUUUUAUAAAGGAAUAAAGUCGGGUAUGGAUACCCGUUUGCAUGUACUUUAUGAAUAAGGAUCGGCUAACUCCGUGCCAGCAGCCGCGGUAAUACGGAGGAUCCGAGCGUUAUCCGGAUUUAUUGGGUUUAAAGGGAGCGUAGAUGGAUGUUUAAGUCAGUUGUGAAAGUUUGCGGCUCAACCGUAAAAUUGCAGUUGAUACUGGAUAUCUUGAGUGCAGUUGAGGCAGGCGGAAUUCGUGGUGUAGCGGUGAAAUGCUUAGAUAUCACNGGCCAAGCGAAAGCGUUAAGUAUUCCACCUGGGGAGUACGCCGGCAACGGUGAAACUCAAAGGAAUUGACGGGGGCCCGCACAAGCGGAGGAACAUGUGGUUUAAUUCGAUGAUACGCGAGGAACCUUACCCGGGCUUAAAUUGCAGAUGAAUUACGGUGAAAGCCGUAAGCCGCAAGGCAUCUGUGAAGGUGCUGCAUGGUUGUCGUCAGCUCGUGCCGUGAGGUGUCGGCUUAAGUGCCAUAACGAGCGCAACCCUUGUUGUCAGUUACUAACAGGUUCCGCUGAGGACUCUGACAAGACUGCCAUCGUAAGAUGUGAGGAAGGUGGGGAUGACGUCAAAUCAGCACGGCCCUUACGUCCGGGGCUACACACGUGUUACAAUGGGGGGUACAGAGGGCCGCUACCACGCGAGUGGAUGCCAAUCCCCAAAACCUCUCUCAGUUCGGACUGGAGUCUGCAACCCGACUCCACGAAGCUGGAUUCGCUAGUAAUCGCGCAUCAGCCACGGCGCGGUGAAUACGUUCCCGGGCCUUGUACACACCGCCCGUCAAGCCAUGGGAGCCGGGGGUACCUGAAGUGCGUAACCGCGAGGAGCGCCCUAGGGUAAAACUGGUGACUGGGGCUAAGUCGUAACAAGGUAGCCGUACCGGAAGGUGCGGCUGGAACACCUCCUUUCUGGAG
Molecule: ribosomal RNA, 1398 nt
Filed under: Phocaeicola vulgatus
Lineage: Bacteria; Pseudomonadati; Bacteroidota; Bacteroidia; Bacteroidales; Bacteroidaceae
Description: bacterial SSU rRNA
Rfam family: Bacterial small subunit ribosomal RNA
Source: RNAcentral